CCAGCAGGCACGAAGGAACUGAUGAGACAGCCCUCACCUGGCCGCCAGAAUCCCACUUCCGUGAGGACUUCGUCAUGUGACUCAGAGUCGGAGCCAGCAGGAGGCCCAAAAGCUACGACUCACCCGAAACCCACCAGGGACUAUUGGCAAAGGAUUCACCCGCCAUGGAAGACGUGGGAGCGCUGUGGGCGCCGGUGUCAUCAACUGUGGAGAUUGUGAAGGAUUCACCCGCCAUGGAAGACGUGGGAGCGCUGUGGGGGCCGCGUGUCGUCAACUGUGGAGAUUGUGAAGGAUUCACCCGCCAUGGAAGACGUGGGAGCGCUGUGGGCGCUGCGUGUCAUCAACUGUGGAGAUUGUGAAGGAUUCACCCGCCAUGGAAGACGUGGGAGCGCUGUGGGCGCUGCGUGUCAUUAACUGUGGAGAUUGUGAAGGAUUCACCCGCCAUGGAAGGCGUGGGAGCGCUGUGGGCGCUGCGUGUCAUUAACUGUGGAGAUUGUGAAGGAUUCACCCGCCAUGGAAGGCGUGGGAGCGCUGUGGGCGCCGGUGUCAUUAACUGUGGAGAUUGUGAAGGAUUCACCCACCAUGGAAGACGUGGGAGCGCUGUGGGCGCCGGUGUCAUUAACUGUGGAGAUUGUGAAGGAUUCACCCACCAUGGAAGACGUGGGAGCGCUGUGGGCGCCGGUGUCAUUAACUGUGGAGAUUGGGAAAGGAUUCACCCGCCAUGGAAGGCAUGGGAGCGCUGUGGGGACUGCGUGUCAUCAAUUGUGGAGAUUGGGAAAGGAUUCACCCGCCAUGGAAGACAUGGGAGCGCUGUGGGGGCCGCGUGUCAUCAACUGUGGAGGUUGGGAAACCGGAAAGAGCAAAAGCAAAGUGGCCAGACGCUCUGCUAGUUCAGGAGAUACUGAGAUGAACAAAGGUGGCCCCUGCCCUGCCACAGCGCCCUGUUCAACAGGCUCCAGGCCCGUCUCAGUAAAUGCUAUCAUCAAAGUGCAAACCAAGACCUGGGGGAGUGGAAGGAGGAGGUGCAGUGAGAAUAUCCACAAUCCCUCUACCGUAAAAACGGCGAAAGCAUACAGAUCAACAGACAACCUCUGGACCACGCUGAGUGAGUUUUAAUGCAGGAUGGAAGCACACAGAUGGCUGAUCAGGUCUCUCUUUACUGAAACAGAACAUGUGCCAAGGGCAGUUUAGCUACCAUCUUUAACCCUAUCAGAUGCGGUCGUGUUACCCACCUCCUAAGGCUGUUUUGAAGGUUAAAUAGAGGAGAUAACAUACACGAAGCUGGUGGCACUGCCUGGCAUCACACUGCCUGGCAUCACACUGCCUGGCAUCAGAGAGAACGUUCAGCGGGGGCCAACGCUUACUGGGUGUGAAACAUGUUUAUAUCACCCCUUUCUACAAUACAAAAGAUAUUCAAUAAUAUCCUUAUUUAUUGAGUGGCUGUGAUUAAUGUUUGUAUUCCCACCUCCCCCAGAAAGGUGGGAGCAAGCUGUGGAUACACAGAGAUGAGGCCCAAGGGCAGAGUGACAGCAAGUGGAGGUGGAGGCUACAGGCUGGCCAGAAGCUGGACUGACCAAGCAGCCUCUGACAAUGAACUCUCCCCUGAGAAGUCCCUGUUUGUUGCCUCAGAGAUGUAGCUUUAAA
Molecule: non-coding RNA, 1644 nt
Organism: Macaca mulatta (Rhesus monkey)
Lineage: Eukaryota; Metazoa; Chordata; Mammalia; Primates; Cercopithecidae
Source: RefSeq, a predicted model, not a curated record